AACGCUGGCGGUGCGCCUUAUGCAUGCAAGUCGAGCGAAGCUUUUCAGUAGUUUACUACAGAAAAUGACUGAGCGGCGAACGGGUGAGUAACGCGUGAGCAACCUACCUUAGUUACUGGGAUAGCCCGAGGAAACUCGGAUUAAUACCGGAUAUUCUUAUUUAAUCACAUGAUUUUUUAAGGAAAGGUCAGCCGAACUAAGAUGGGCUCGCGUUCUAUCAGCUAGUUGGUAGGGUAAUGGCCUACCAAGGCUACGACGGAUAGCUGGUCUGAGAGGACGAUCAGCCACACUGGGACUGAGACACGGCCCAGACUCCUACGGGAGGCUGCAGCAGGGAAUAUUGCGCAAUGAGCGAAAGCUUGACGCAGCGACACCGCGUGUGGGAUGACGGAUCUAGGUUUGUAAACCACUUUCAGGAGGGAAGAAAAUGACGGUACCUCCACAAGAAGCCCCGGCCAA
RNAcentral lists this ribosomal RNA (459 nucleotides) under uncultured bacterium. Its description in RNAcentral is "bacterial SSU rRNA". It matches the Rfam family "Bacterial small subunit ribosomal RNA", at positions 32 to 500 of the family's 1533-position model. The record is from RNAcentral.